This 397-nucleotide ribosomal RNA is filed under the name uncultured bacterium. RNAcentral describes it as "partial 16S ribosomal RNA". It matches the Rfam family "Bacterial small subunit ribosomal RNA", at positions 523 to 918 of the family's 1533-position model. The record is from RNAcentral.
AUACGUAGGGAGCGAGCGUUGUCCGGAAUUACUGGGUGUAAAGGGAGCGUAGGCGGGAGUGCAAGUCAGAUGUGAAAUACAUGGGCUCAACCCAUGGGCUGCAUUUGAAACUGCAUUUCUUGAGUGAAGUAGAGGUAAGCGGAAUUCCUGGUGUAGCGGUGAAAUGCGUAGAUAUCAGGAGGAACACCGGUGGCGAAGGCGGCUUACUGGGCUUUUACUGACGCUGAGGCUCGAAAGCGUGGGGAGCAAACAGGAUUAGAUACCCUGGUAGUCCACGCUGUAAACGAUGAUUACUAGGUGUAGGAGGUAUCGACUCCUUCUGUGCCGCAGCUAACGCAUUAAGUAUUCCACCUGGGGAGUACGGCCGCAAGGUUAAAACUCAAAUGAAUUGACGGGG